AACACGUGAAACUCCGUCGGAAUCCGGGAGGACCAUCUCCCAAGGCUAAAUACUACCUAGUGACCGAUAGUGAACCAGUACCGUGAGGGAAAGGUGAAAAGCACCCCGGGAGGGGAGUGAAAUAGUUCCUGAAACCAUAUGCCUACAAGUAGUCAGAGCUCGUUAAUGAGUGAUGGCGUGCCUUUUGUAGAAUGAACCGGCGAGUUACGUUAGCGUGCGAGGUUAAGGAGGAAAGUCCGGAGCCGUAGCGAAAGCGAGUCUGAAUAGGGCGAGAUAGUACGUUGACGUAGACCCGAAACCAGGUGACCUACCCAUGUCCAGGUUGAAGGUGCGGUAAAACGCACUGGAGGACCGAACCCGUGUAUGUUGAAAAAUGCUGGGAUGAGGUGUGGGUAGAGGUGAAAUUCCAAACGAACUUGGAGAUAGCUGGUUCUCUCCGAAAUAGCUUUAGGGCUAGCCUCGGAGUUAAGAAUCGUGGAGGUAGAGCACUGUUUGGACUAGGGGCCCGUCUUGGGUUACUGAAUUCAGAUAAACUCCGAAUGCCACAGAUUUAUAUCCGGGAGUCAGACUGCGAGUGAUAAGAUCCGUAGUCGAAAGGGAAACAGCCCAGACCACCGAUUAAGGUCCCAAAAUAUGUGUUAAGUGGAAAAGGAUGUGGAAUUGCAUAGACAACUAGGAUGUUGGCUUAGAA
This 691-nucleotide ribosomal RNA is filed under the name Pedobacter miscanthi. RNAcentral describes it as "bacterial LSU rRNA". It matches the Rfam family "Bacterial large subunit ribosomal RNA", at positions 421 to 1111 of the family's 2925-position model. Lineage: Bacteria; Pseudomonadati; Bacteroidota; Sphingobacteriia; Sphingobacteriales; Sphingobacteriaceae. The record is from RNAcentral.